Molecule: ribosomal RNA, 470 nt
Filed under: uncultured bacterium
Lineage: Bacteria
Description: partial 16S ribosomal RNA
Rfam family: Bacterial small subunit ribosomal RNA
Source: RNAcentral
GACGAACGCUGGCGGCGUGCUUAACACAUGCAAGUCGAACGCUGAAGCACCAGCUUGCUGGUGUGGAUGAGUGGCGAACGGGUGAGUAAUACGUGAGUAACCUGCCCUUGACUCUGGGAUAAGCCCGGGAAACUGGGUCUAAUACUGGAUGCUACAUGUCACCGCAUGGUGGUGUGUGGAAAGGGUUUACUGGUCUUGGAUGGGCUCACGGCCUAUCAGCUUGUUGGUGGGGUAAUGGCUCACCAAGGCGACGACGGGUACCCGGCCUGAGAGGGUGACCGGCCACACUGGGACUGAGGCACGGCCCAGACUCCUACGGGAGGCAGCAGUGGGGAAUAUUGCACAAUGGGCGAAAGCCUGAUGCAGCGACGCCGCGUGAGGGAUGACGGCCUUCGGGUUGUAAACCUCUUUCAGCAGGGAAGAAGCCACAAGUGACGGUACCUGCAGAAGAAGCGCCGGCUAACUACGUG